Molecule: long non-coding RNA, 3647 nt
Organism: Gasterosteus aculeatus aculeatus (three-spined stickleback)
Lineage: Eukaryota; Metazoa; Chordata; Actinopteri; Perciformes; Gasterosteidae
Source: Ensembl
AUGAGAACACGUCGACAGGAGGAGGCCGAGGGAAGGAGAGCGAGGCCGACGGGUAAUCGGGGGAUUAGAUCCGUGCAAAAGUGUCAUUUCUCUUCGACGUGGUAUUCCAGCUCUUUUAUGAGAGACAUUCGGGGCGCCACCCCCCCCCUCUCUGUCGUCUGCAGACUCUCCCCUGGCACCCGUUGGGCGGCGCGGCCGUGGGCCGGCAUAGACGGCGGGAUAAUGAGCUCCCGUUGCCUUGUCAACGCCGGCCCCCGUUUUCCAGCGGCCGAGCUUUCUGGUUCUCGGUUUGUCUGCUCCCCCCGGCGCGCAGAGCUCUUCAGUAAAUAAAGCAUCUGGCCGGCGGAUGAGACUUGGUGUCGUCUUUAGAUCCUUUCCAAAGGACAAAUGUUUCCUCACUGAAGAGGCCCGAAAGGUCUUUGCGUGGGCGGCUACAUUUACCUGACGACGGGAUAAUAGCCACGUUAAAAGGCUCUAAAAACAGAGUUACGGACAUUAUGAUCGGCCUAUUUUAGGUUUAAUUCUCUUUUGGCGUCAAAAGGUUUUCCCUCCUCACUUCCUCCUUUCCAAACCUCCUCGACCUUCAGUCUGAAGAGAUCCGUGUUCACUUUGGUCGAGGGUCGAACACAGAAAAAAGGAAUGAAAUACUUUGCCGUUUGAAUAAAAGGUCAAGGAGAAACACCUGAGAAGUAAAGAAAUAAAAAAAGAAUGUCCUCCAAUACGAGUCCACAGUCGGUCGGCCGCUUAAACAGGCCGUGUGUGAAAAGAGGGUCCGCAACCCCGAUCUCCUCAUGACAGGAAGGGGAUUUACUUUAGGAAAUGUGGAGCAUCAAAACCAGAAGUCCAGAAGACUGAUAUGAUAAAUAAUUAGCAUAGCAACCCAUCGGCGCGCAGCACCAAAGAGCAAAAGGCCUGAUUUUUUUUCCAAAACGUCUGUAUCCGCGAGAAGCCGAUUUCUCUACUUUCUUUCCGUUUUUAAAGCACCUUGUGCUCUUGGACGCAACGACAAAUGUUAGUUUUCAUCUCCGAGGACGGGCCGCAUUCCAACGCGCUCCGCGUCUCCACCGGAGCGGUGACAUUGUCUGUGAGCUGCCGUUCUCUCCCCCACCCAGUGUCUCUGGUGAGUGAGUGACAUGACGGUGUUGACACACACACACACACACGCACACACACACACACGCACACACGCCCCAUCUGGCUGCCACGAUGAGGCAACUACCGUCAACACAACGUCAACACGUUCCCGUCUUCAGCAUCGGCUUUGUUUACCAGCUCGCUAUAAAUCGCGCUGAAAUGACGCCGAUUUUCUGGGCGCAUGCAGAGAACAUUUCACAGCAUCCGGACCCGCAUCCCUCUCCGGAGGCCAUCGUUCAUUUUAUUUACAGCCAGCCGUCCGGUGUCUCCCUCAAUAUUAACGUGGCAUCAAUCGGUCCUUCGUGUCUCGGUUUGCAAAAAAAAGAAAACGCGUUUCUUUACGGUCAAUGUGGAAUAAAAGUGUUUAGAGAAGCUAAUGCUUCUCUUCCUUCCUCCAGACUCUUUAUUCCUGUUAAAAAACACGAGGGAUCCGCCCCCCUCGCUGCAUUAAGUGAUUCUUAUUGAAGCCUCGCGAACGGCAUCCAAACUGGAGACAUUGAGUCUCUGGAGACGGAGAAAGCGAUUCUGCAUACGUGAGCCACAGAGAGCGAAUACAAAGCAGGGAAAUGAAGACGGAGAGAAGAAGAAAACCCCCCCGAUUGGGAGCGACAGCGCGAAGGGAACAGCUGAAAGACGUUGUGGGGCCCCAGGUGAGCCCUGUGGGGGGUCAUUUACGGCCCUGUGGGCCCACUGGGUCAGCUGAAAGACUCGCUGCCAAGAGAAACAACACAGCGGAAAGCCCCCCCCGCACACACACACACACACACACACACACGCUUAUUUACUGUAGUUGAGGCUAUUUUGGAGAAAUAAAAUCUGGAGUGCGGGUGCAAGCUGUAUCAUUUGGUUCGGGUUCGAAAGUCACUGCUGGUAAUGUGUGUAUCACAAAUUCUAUCCAGCUAUAAACGGCACUGAAAGAAGUGAAAAAACUCGACGCUCUUAUGUAACACAAUCUAUUCAGGGCAUUUCGAGCACCAGGCUCUUCCUCAGAAACAUUACAGGGAAAUAAAAACCCUUCUGCCGGCGGAGACUUGGACGGAAGGACCAUCAGUCAGAGUUAUGUUGGAAAUCCAACUGGGUGCGCCGGCCUUUGGUCCCGUUUGUUUUUUAUCAAAAUGAUUUAAAAAAAAGAAGGCUCCCAACGCCCUUCUAGGUCGCCAACAAAUUAGUCGUCUGCAAUCAGCGUAUUUAGAUCACCGAUCGUUGUCAUUGACUGUAUAAAAAAGGACGCUGCGGUAAAAUAACCCAGAACGAAGUGAACUGGGGAGCAUUGAAGCUCCUCCAGUCAAACGAUUCCUGCGCUGGAUCCUUUCUGCUCCCACAUCCUGGCGCUUGUGUGGUUUUCGCUCGCCGCAAAUCACCUCACGCGCAGUCGGAUCCAAGGCAGCGUGCGAUUGGCCGACCCCCCCACCGUAGCAGCUACAUCCAGAACUCGAUGGGUGGAGACUUAUCUCUUGGUAUCAGGGCUGCAGCGACACAUUUUUCUUCAUUGAUGAUUAAUAUGUUAUUUUUAGGGAGGCCAGAAGAAAAAAAGUAAACCCCCACCGUUAAUUUAUUCGUUUCUUUCCUGCCGCCUGCCCUCUCCUGUAGUUCUUCGUGCGUAACAAGACGGUUCCCUGAGUUCUUCUAAUCCAUCCCUGCCGCGCAGGCCGACUGGAGAGCAGCGUCCACGCUGCCCUUUGUUUCUUCAGUUGUACUCGCUGUCUUGUGAGAGUGAAUACAGAUUCAUAUGUUGUAUUGUAACGCAAUGCAGAUGUAAAACUAGGGGGCUGCUCGUCAAAACCCGGAAGAAGCCAUCUUGGCUGGUUGGGAUUUUAGAGAAUAGAAUUUGUGUAGAAAAGGGGGGACUUUCAUUUCCGGGGUGUCAAAAAUGUACAGCCUUCAUUUACCACUCGAAUCCUUUAGUUCAAUGACAAGCAAACAAGCGUUUGUGGCGUCAGUCUCCAGUUGUGAGUCUUCUUCAUUGCAACACACAAUUCCAACGAACCUUAAAGCAAAGUGAGAUUCAGUGCGGGUCUGCAAGUGGCCACUUUCGCUCCCUGCGUGCAAAGAUCUAAAGAUGGACUACGGCCGAUUUGGCAAACCGGGCUGCAAAAGACACCAAUGAGUACGUCCACUUCUCAUUGGGGUCAAGCUGUGCAGAAAUGCACUGGAAUGCCAGCAAAUGUCCAUCUAGGAACAGUCCUCAAAGGACAUUCCUUUACUGUACUCUGUGAAUGCAAGGGGGUGUCCCAGCAUGCAUUGCUGCAGGGAGGUUAAAGCUUUUGGAUUGUAACCAACCGGUGCGAAGAAAGUGCACCAAGCACGACAGAUUCUUGUAGUUGUAUCCGUCGUGGGGGGGGGGGGGGCGUCUCAAUGGUUAGGCAGAUAGCCCGACCACAGUGGGACAUUUGAGACGAGGCUGGGAGAAACGCCACGAAAGACACCAUAAAGACACAAAGACGUUCGGGAGAAGCUAAAGAACAUUUGUGGACAACCAACUGGCGGAGGGGGGUCGAAAAAGACGGAGCGGG